This 331-nucleotide long non-coding RNA is filed under the name Homo sapiens (human). Its description in RNAcentral is "non-protein coding lnc-PAIP2-5:1". Lineage: Eukaryota; Metazoa; Chordata; Mammalia; Primates; Hominidae. The record is from RNAcentral.
UUUCCUUUUGUUGAUCCACUGUUUUCCUAUGAGCUACCAAAAAAUGUAAUUCAGAGCUCUGUAGUCUAACAGUCACAUUUCCUUAAAAUAUGGCCGUUUUAAAAAUUUUAAACAUAAUUGUAAUACCAUUAUAUAAUUUCUCUUAGGGAAAAAAUAAUUCAAAAGACUGACUUUUCAGUAAUGCAAAGCUUUGGCUACAACAUGAAGGUCAAAGCUGCAAUUAAUAACCCUGAUACUUCAACAUUUUUAUUUUGAAAAACCCUCUAAAGGAUUUGAUUUGUAAAAAUAUGUGUGAAAAUUUAGAGGGUCCACCACCAUUUACAUAGCAUCU